Molecule: ribosomal RNA, 115 nt
Filed under: Acanthosepion pharaonis
Lineage: Eukaryota; Metazoa; Mollusca; Cephalopoda; Sepiida; Sepiidae
Source: RNAcentral
UUACGGUCAAAUCACGCUGAAAACACCGGUUCUCGUUCGAUCACCGAAGUUAAGCAUCGUAGAGCCAGGUCAGUACUUAGAUGGGGGACCGCUUGGGAACACCUGGUAUUGUAAG